GAAACGACUGCUAAGACUGGAUAGGAGACAAGAGGGCAUCUUCUUGUUUUUAAAAGACCUAGCAAUAGGUAUGCUUAGGGAGGAGCUUGCGUCACAUUAGUUAGUUGGUGGGGUAAAGGCCUACCAAGACUAUGAUGUGUAGCCGGGCUGAGAGGUUGAACGGCCACAUUGGGACUGAGACACGGCCCAAACUCCUACGGGAGGCAGCAGUAGGGAAUUUUCGGCAAUGGAGGAAACUCUGACCGAGCAACGCCGCGUGAACGAUGAAGUAUUUCGGUACGUAAAGUUCUUUUAUUAGGGAAGAAUAAAUGAUGGAAAAAUCAUUCUGACGGUACCUAAUGAAUAAGCCCCGGCUAACUAUGUGCCAGCAGCCGCGGUAAUACAUAGGGGGCAAGCGUUAUCCGGAAUUAUUGGGCGUAAAGGGUGCGUAGGCGGUUAAAUAAGUUUAUGGUCUAAGUGCAAUGCUCAACAUUGUGAUGCUAUAAAAACUGUUUAGCUAGAGUAAGAUAGAGGCAAGUGGAAUUCCAUGUGUAGUGGUAAAAUGCGUAAAUAUAUGGAGGAACACCAGUAGCGAAGGCGGCUUGCUGGGUCUUUACUGACGCUGAGGCACGAAAGCGUGGGGAGCAAACAGGAUUAGAUACCCUGGCAGUCCACGCCGUAAACGAUGAGUACUAAACGUUGGGUAAAACCAGUGUUGAAGUUAACACAUUAAGUACUCCGCCUGAGUAGUACGUACGCAAGUAUGAAACUUAAAGGAAUUGACGGGACUCCGCACAAGCGGUGGAUCAUGUUGUUUAAUUCGAAGGUACCCGAAAAACCUCACCAGGUCUUGACAUGCUUCUGCAAAGCUGUAGAAACACAGUGGAGGUUAUCAGUUGCACAGGUGGUGCAUGGUUGUCGUCAGCUCGUGUCGUGAGAUGUUGGGUUAAGUCCCGCAACGAGCGCAACCCUUAUUGUUAGUUACCAGCACGUAAUGGUGGGGACUUUAGCAAGACUGCCAGUGAUAAAUUGGAGGAAGGUGGGGACGACGUCAAAUCAUCAUGCCCCUUAUGACCUGGGCUACAAACGUGAUACAAUGGCUGUUACAAAGGGUAGCUGAAGCGCAAGUUUUUGGCGAAUCUCAAAAAAACAGUCUCAGUUCGGAUUGAAGUCUGCAACUCGACUUCAUGAAGUUGGAAUCGCUAGUAAUCGCGAAUCAGCAUGUCGCGGUGAAUACGUUCUCGGGGUUUGUACACACCGCCCGUCA
This 1246-nucleotide ribosomal RNA is filed under the name Chrysanthemum phyllody phytoplasma. Its description in RNAcentral is "bacterial SSU rRNA". It matches the Rfam family "Bacterial small subunit ribosomal RNA", at positions 153 to 1399 of the family's 1533-position model. Lineage: Bacteria; Bacillati; Mycoplasmatota; Mollicutes; Acholeplasmatales; Acholeplasmataceae. The record is from RNAcentral.